CCCUUAGAUGUUCUGGGCCGCACGCGCGCUACACUGAUGCAUUCAACGAGCCUAUCCUUGACCGACAGGUCCGGGUAAUCUUUGAAUCUGCAUCGUGACGGGGAUAGAUUAUUGCAAUUAUUAAUCUUCAACGAGGAAUGCCUAGUAGGCGCAAGUCAUCAGCUUGCGUCGAUUACGUCCCUGCCCUUUGUACACACCGCCCGUCGCUCCUACCGAUUGGGGGUGCUGGUGAAAUGUUCGGAUCGGCCGUUUGUCGCGGUUUCCGCGGCUCGUGGCUGAGAAGUUCAUUAAACCCUCCCACCUAGAGGAAGGAGAAGUCGUAACA
Molecule: ribosomal RNA, 325 nt
Filed under: uncultured eukaryote
Lineage: Eukaryota
Description: partial 18S ribosomal RNA
Rfam family: Eukaryotic small subunit ribosomal RNA
Source: RNAcentral